This 1440-nucleotide ribosomal RNA is filed under the name Micrococcus luteus. Its description in RNAcentral is "bacterial SSU rRNA". It matches the Rfam family "Bacterial small subunit ribosomal RNA". The record is from RNAcentral. Lineage: Bacteria; Bacillati; Actinomycetota; Actinomycetes; Micrococcales; Micrococcaceae.
GCGGCAGUAAUGCAAGUCGAACGAUGAAGCCCAGCUUGCUGGGUGGAUUAGUGGCGAACGGGUGAGUAACACGUGAGUAACCUGCCCUUAACUCUGGGAUAAGCCUGGGAAACUGGGUCUAAUACCGGAUAGGAGCGUCCACCGCAUGGUGGGUGUUGGAAAGAUUUAUCGGUUUUGGAUGGACUCGCGGCCUAUCAGCUUGUUGGUGAGGUAAUGGCUCACCAAGGCGACGACGGGUAGCCGGCCUGAGAGGGUGACCGGCCACACUGGGACUGAGACACGGCCCAGACUCCUACGGGAGGCAGCAGUGGGGAAUAUUGCACAAUGGGCGAAGCCUGAUGCAGCGACGCCGCGUGAGGGAUGACGCCUUCGGGUUGUAAACCUCUUUCAGUAGGGAAGAAGCGAAAGUGACGGUACCUGCAGAAGAAGCACCGGCUAACUACGUGCCAGCAGCCGCGGUAAUACGUAGGGUGCGAGCGUUAUCCGGAAUUAUUGGGCGUAAAGAGCUCGUAGGCGGUUUGUCGCGUCUGUCGUGAAAGUCCGGGGCUUAACCCCGGAUCUGCGGUGGGUACGGGCAGACUAGAGUGCAGUAGGGGAGACUGGAAUUCCUGGUGUAGCGGUGGAAUGCGCAGAUAUCAGGAGGAACACCGAUGGCGAAGGCAGGUCUCUGGGCUGUAACUGACGCUGAGGAGCGAAAGCAUGGGGAGCGAACAGGAUUAGAUACCCUGGUAGUCCAUGCCGUAAACGUUGGGCACUAGGUGUGGGGACCAUUCCACGGUUUCCGCGCCGCAGCUAACGCAUUAAGUGCCCCGCCUGGGGAGUACGGCCGCAAGGCUAAAACUCAAAGGAAUUGACGGGGGCCCGCACAAGCGGCGGAGCAUGCGGAUUAAUUCGAUGCAACGCGAAGAACCUUACCAAGGCUUGACAUGUUCUCGAUCGCCGUAGAGAUACGGUUUCCCCUUUGGGGCGGGUUCACAGGUGGUGCAUGGUUGUCGUCAGCUCGUGUCGUGAGAUGUUGGGUUAAGUCCCGCAACGAGCGCAACCCUCGUUCCAUGUUGCCAGCACGUCGUGGUGGGGACUCAUGGGAGACUGCCGGGGUCAACUCGGAGGAAGGUGAGGACGACGUCAAAUCAUCAUGCCCCUUAUGUCUUGGGCUUCACGCAUGCUACAAUGGCCGGUACAAUGGGUUGCGAUACUGUGAGGUGGAGCUAAUCCCAAAAAGCCGGUCUCAGUUCGGAUUGGGGUCUGCAACUCGACCCCAUGAAGUCGGAKUCGCUAGUAAUCGCAGAUCAGCAACGCUGCGGUGAAUACGUUCCCGGGCCUUGUACACACCGCCCGUCAAGUCACGAAAGUUGKUAACACCCGAAGCCGGUGGCCUAACCCUUGUGGGGGGAGCCGUCGAAGGUGGGACCAGCGAUUGGGACUAUGUMSRACACCAAC